CGCCUGUUUAUCAAAAACAUCGCCUCUUGCAAAAUAUAAGUAUAAGAGGUCCCGCCUGCCCAGUGACAAUAAAGUUUAACGGCCGCGGUAUUUUGACCGUGCAAAGGUAGCGUAAUCACUUGUCUUUUAAAUGAAGACCCGUAUGAAUGGCAUAACGAGGGCUUAACUGUCUCCUUCCCUAAGUCAAUGAAAUUGAUCUCCCCGUGCAGAAGCGGGGAUAAAACCAUAAGACGAGAAGACCCUAUGGAGCUUUAGACGCAAGGACAGAUCAUGUCAAAUACACCUAGCUACAGGCCUGAACUAAAUGAAACCAGUCUUGAUGUCUUCGGUUGGGGCGACCAUGGGGAACACAAAACCCCCACGUGGAAAAGGAGUACACCCCUAUCUUUUUCUCCUCCUACAAACCAGAGCGACAGCUCUAAUCAGCAGAAAUUCUGACCAAACUGAUCCGGCAACGCCGAUCAACGAAUCAAGUUACCCUAGGGAUAACAGCGCAAUCCCCUUUUAGAGCCCAUAUCGACAAGGGGGUUUACGACCUCGAUGUUGGAUCAGGACAUCCUAAUGGUGCAGCCGCUAUUAAGGGUUCGUUUGUUCAACGAUUAAAGUCCUACGUGAUCUGAGUUCAGACCGG
Molecule: ribosomal RNA, 631 nt
Filed under: Paralichthys albigutta (Gulf flounder)
Lineage: Eukaryota; Metazoa; Chordata; Actinopteri; Pleuronectiformes; Paralichthyidae
Description: partial 16S ribosomal RNA
Rfam family: Bacterial large subunit ribosomal RNA
Source: RNAcentral